RNAcentral lists this transfer RNA (68 nucleotides) under Rhodococcus sp. BP-107. RNAcentral describes it as "tRNA-Tyr". RNAcentral also lists the same sequence under 34 other names. The record is from RNAcentral. Lineage: Bacteria; Bacillati; Actinomycetota; Actinomycetes; Mycobacteriales; Nocardiaceae.
CCGCCUGAACGUCUAUCGUCGUUCUCGUAAUGAAAAGGUCAAGAGUUCGAUUCUCUUAGGCGGCUCCA